GAUGAACGCUAGCUACAGGCUUAACACAUGCAAGUCGAGGGGUAGCACGGAGGAAGCUUGCUUCCUUGGGUGACGACCGGCGCACGGGUGAGUAACGCGUAUCCGACCUACCCAUUACUCGGGCACAGCCGCUCGAAAGAGUGAUUGAUUCCCGAUAUGUCCUUGGAGUAGAUUCAAUGAUGAAAGAUUUAUCGGUAAUGGAUGGGGAUGCGUAAGAUUAGGUAGUAGGCGGGGUAACGGCCACCUAGCCGACGAUCUUUAGGGGUUCUGAGAGGAAGGUCCCCCANACUGGUACUGAGACACGGACCAGACUCCUACGGGAGGCAGCAGUGAGGAAUAUUGGUCAAAUGGGCGGAAGCCUGAACCAGCCAAGUA
RNAcentral lists this ribosomal RNA (375 nucleotides) under uncultured bacterium. RNAcentral's name for it is "bacterial SSU rRNA". It matches the Rfam family "Bacterial small subunit ribosomal RNA", at positions 28 to 398 of the family's 1533-position model. The record is from RNAcentral.